Molecule: transfer RNA, 85 nt
Filed under: bacterium
Lineage: Bacteria
Also listed under: 1 other name
Description: tRNA-Leu
Rfam family: tRNA
About the family: Transfer RNA (tRNA) molecules are approximately 80 nucleotides in length. Their secondary structure includes four short double-helical elements and three loops (D, anti-codon, and T loops).
Source: RNAcentral
GCCUGAGUGGUGGAAUUGGUAGACACGUUGGACUUAAAAUCCAAUGAGCAUUGCGCUCGUGCGGGUUCAAGUCCCGCCUCAGGUA